This 426-nucleotide ribosomal RNA is filed under the name uncultured Caryophanaceae bacterium. Its description in RNAcentral is "bacterial SSU rRNA". It matches the Rfam family "Bacterial small subunit ribosomal RNA", at positions 356 to 774 of the family's 1533-position model. The record is from RNAcentral. Lineage: Bacteria; Bacillati; Bacillota; Bacilli; Caryophanales; Caryophanaceae.
AGGGAAUCUUCCACAAUGGACGAAAGUCUGAUGGAGCAACGCCGCGUGAGUGAUGAAGGUUUUCGGAUCGUAAAACUCUGUUGUAAGGGAAGAACCAGUACGUCAGGCAAUGGACGUACCUUGACGGUACCUUAUUAGAAAGCCACGGCUAACUACGUGCCAGCAGCCGCGGUAAUACGUAGGUGGCAAGCGUUGUCCGGAAUUAUUGGGCGUAAAGCGCGCGCAGGUGGUUUCUUAAGUCUGAUGUGAAAGCCCACGGCUUAACCGUGGAAGGGCAAUGGAAACCGGGAGACUUGAGUGCAGGAGAGGGAAAUGGAAAUCCAAGUGUAGGCGUUGAAUUCGUAGAGAUUUGGGGGAACACCAAUUGCGAAGGCGGCUUUCUGGGCCGCAACUGGCGCUGGGGCGCGGAAGCAUGGGGAGCAAACA